Molecule: ribosomal RNA, 254 nt
Filed under: uncultured bacterium
Lineage: Bacteria
Description: partial 16S ribosomal RNA
Rfam family: Bacterial small subunit ribosomal RNA
Source: RNAcentral
UACGUAGGUGGCAAGCGUUAUCCGGAAUUAUUGGGCGUAAAGCGCGCGUAGGCGGUUUUUUAAGUCUGAUGUGAAAGCCCACGGCUCAACCGUGGAGGGUCAUUGGAAACUGGAAAACUUGAGUGCAGAAGAGGAAAGUGGAAUUCCAUGUGUAGCGGUGAAAAUGCGCAGAGAUAUGGAGGAACACCAGUGGCGAAGGCGACUUUCUGGUCUGUAACUGACGCUGAUGUGCGAAAGCGUGGGGAUCAAACAGG